GCAUAACGCAAAACCGACUAACCAACGUUUCGACCCCUGCGGGUCUUUUUCAAGGUUACCCGCAGAGGUCGAAACGUUGGUUAGUCGGUUUUGCGUAAUGC
Molecule: microRNA precursor, 101 nt
Filed under: Pelobates cultripes (western spadefoot toad)
Lineage: Eukaryota; Metazoa; Chordata; Amphibia; Anura; Pelobatidae
Source: RNAcentral